This 542-nucleotide long non-coding RNA is filed under the name Sus scrofa (pig). Its description in RNAcentral is "lncRNA (ENSSSCG00070018968.1)". Lineage: Eukaryota; Metazoa; Chordata; Mammalia; Artiodactyla; Suidae. The record is from RNAcentral.
CAGGAACGCCUGGCUUGCGUCUGGGCGUGCAGCCUGCUCGAAGCAGGCUGGCGUGGAUUUUCGCUCCCGGCAAGGCGGGCUUCUGGAAAGCUGAGCUUGUAAUCUUGAAUGCCCUCUGCCAAGCAGGCCCCUGCUGAUAGCCUUUCUCUCCCAAUGCCUCCCCGACCUUUUUCAACCCUCGCGCCCAUACCCUUCCCUGCUUUCCAGCCCUUCCCUGGAAUCGGAGCCUCUGUCCACCCAUCUGGAUCCCGGUUGGUCCUUUCUUUCUAGCGCGGUCCCAGGGUUGAAGGACGCUCACCGCUCCCCUGUCUUUGCACAUGACUUCCCAAUCGGGCAGAUGAGGACUCUACAGUGUUUUCUACCCUCCCAGCUGACACUUUUCCUCCUCCUAGUACACAAGUUACAAGGAACCGACCUCUAUCCUGCUAAUGGGUGACUCUCAGGAGGCAUGGCCUCAGCUGGAAGAGCCACCCUGGGGAGAAAUUUCAGAGAUAGAUCUCAGUGAUGAGCUCAGCCUGACCGGACAAAGUCACCGCUUCUAC